UGCAUGUAUAUGUCCAAAUGAGCAGUACAUGCUGAGCUACUAUCUCUCCUUGCUACCCAGACAAGACGUCUGCAGAUCCAUCAGUCAAGUAGAUAUAGAGGAUUGCAGAAACUCACUGGUUUCUCCAGCUGCACCCUUCCCUGUGUCUCAGGGAGAGGGUAGUGCAAUGGCCAGGCUGGCUAUUUCUCCAGUGCGAGGAGAUCCUGACACCAGUCUUCACUAUAUCAUGCCUAAGGUCCGCUUGGUGGGAUGUCGGUUUUCUCCAGUGAAGCUAAUGAAGAUAGAGGGAUCUCAGCACUUGGCAGGACUAAAUGAGUUUUCCCCCUUUCUGGUACCUGAGUCAGAAGUUAGCUUCUGUCUCCUGCUUACCAGUAGAAUGGGCUGCUUAUGGUAUCUUCAAAACUGA
Molecule: long non-coding RNA, 406 nt
Filed under: Struthio camelus australis
Lineage: Eukaryota; Metazoa; Chordata; Aves; Struthioniformes; Struthionidae
Description: lncRNA (ENSSCUG00000013414.1)
Source: RNAcentral